This 253-nucleotide ribosomal RNA is filed under the name uncultured bacterium. RNAcentral's name for it is "partial 16S ribosomal RNA". It matches the Rfam family "Bacterial small subunit ribosomal RNA", at positions 524 to 776 of the family's 1533-position model. The record is from RNAcentral.
UACGUAGGGGACAAGCGUUGUCCGGAUUUACUGGGCGUAAAGAGCGCGCAGGCGGUCGAUCAAGUCGGGUGUGAAAGCCCCCGGCUCAACUGGGGAGGGUCAUUCGAUACUGAUCGACUCGAAGGCAGGAGAGGGAUGUGGAAUUCCAGGUGUAGCGGUGAAAUGCGUAGAUAUCUGGAGGAACACCGGUGGCGAAGGCGGCAUCCUGGACCGAGAUUGACGCUGAUGCGCGAAAGCCAGGGGAGCAAACGGG